AGAUUUGCUCUUCUGUUUAUAGUCUCAACAAAGUGAAUCUUAUAAGCAUUCAAACAUUUUAGCAGUAAUCCUUCAGGUGGUUCUGUGACCAAUGCAUUGUCAUCAAUUUCUUCUGAAUUGUCUCUCAGGAAUGUAGUACACCAGAAGAGGGUGCUGGAUCCCAUGGAGCUGGAGUUACAGGUCAUUUCGAGAUGCCUGAACUGAAUUCUGGGUCCUCUUCAAGAGUCGUAUGCAAUUUUAAUCUUUGAGCCAUCUCUCUAGCCCAAAAGUUUGAAUUGCAUUUCAUGCAUUCAUGCAUGCAUGCAUUCAUUGGGUGGGGAGGCACACAACUCACAGGAGAUUUGAAGCAGGUCAACCCAGUAGAAAACACUGACAUG
RNAcentral lists this long non-coding RNA (377 nucleotides) under Cricetulus griseus (Chinese hamster). RNAcentral's name for it is "lncRNA (ENSCGRG00015036976.1)". Lineage: Eukaryota; Metazoa; Chordata; Mammalia; Rodentia; Cricetidae. The record is from RNAcentral.